Talpa occidentalis (Iberian mole) is the source of this 7353-nucleotide RNA transcript. It is a transcript of the gene named SUV39H2 histone lysine methyltransferase, with no coding region annotated. The record is from RefSeq and is a predicted model, not a curated record. NCBI's taxonomy places the organism in Eukaryota, Metazoa, Chordata, Mammalia, Eulipotyphla, Talpidae. The transcript has 8 exons.
ACUCCUUUUCCCCGCGUCGAGGUUCUGCGGGUUCCGUGGCCCGACCCCCGCUGCCCGUUGGACCCGAGGCCCCACCCCGCCUGGUCGCCGAGUGGAGAUAUUCGGGCGGCCGCAGCGGCUCCGGCUUGGUGUGUGCCUUGCCUAGUUUCACUUGAUACUCUUCAGGAAUUAUGUAGAAAAGAAAAACUCACAUGUAAGUCGAUUGGAAUCACCACAAGGAAUCUAAACAAUUAUGAGGUGGAAUACUUGUGUGACUACAAGGUAGUAAAGGAUAUGGAAUAUUAUCUUGUAAAAUGGAAAGGAUGGCCAGAUUCUACAAAUACUUGGGAACCUUUGCAAAAUCUCAAGUGUCCAUUACUACUUCAGCAGUUCUCUAAAGACAAGCAUAAUUAUUUAUCUCAGGUAAAGAAAGGCAAAGCAAUAACUCUAAAAGACAAUAACAAGGCUUUGAGGCCUGCCAUUGCCGAAUACAUUGUAAAGAAGGCUAAACAAAGGAUAGCUUUGCAGAGAUGGCAAGAUGAACUCAACAGAAGAAAGAAUCAUAAAGGAAUGAUUUUUGUUGAGAAUACUGUGGACUUGGAGGGCCCACCUUCAGACUUCUUCUACAUAAAUGAAUACAAACCAGCUCCUGGAAUCAGCUUAGUAAAUGAAGCUACUUUUGGCUGUUCAUGCACAGAUUGCUUCUUUGAGAAAUGUUGUCCUGCAGAAGCUGGAGUUCUUUUGGCUUAUAAUAAAAACCAACAAAUUAAAAUCCCACCUGGUACCCCCAUUUAUGAAUGCAACUCAAGGUGUCAGUGUGGGCCAGAUUGUCCUAAUAGGAUUGUACAAAAAGGCACACCAUAUUCACUGUGCAUCUUUCGAACUAGCAAUGGCUGUGGCUGGGGUGUAAAAACUCUUGUGAAGAUUAAAAGAAUGAGUUUUGUUAUGGAAUACGUUGGAGAGGUAAUCACAAGUGAAGAAGCUGAAAGGCGGGGGCAGUUAUAUGACAACAAAGGAAUCACUUAUCUCUUUGAUCUGGACUAUGAAUCUGAUGAAUUCACAGUAGAUGCAGCUCGCUAUGGAAAUGUGUCUCAUUUUGUGAAUCACAGUUGUGAUCCAAAUCUUCAAGUGUUCAAUGUUUUCAUUGAUAACCUCGAUACUCGUCUUCCCCGAAUAGCAUUAUUUUCCACAAGAACCAUAAGUGCUGGAGAAGAACUCACUUUUGAUUAUCAAAUGAAAGGUUCUGGAGAUAUAUCUUCAGAUUCUAUUGACCACAGCCCAGCCAAAAAGAGGGUCAGAACUGUGUGCAAAUGUGGAGCUGUGACUUGCAGAGGUUACCUCAACUGAAUUUUCAGGAAAUAGAACUGAUAUUUGUAAUUGUUUUUCUCUAAUGUUAAAUUUUUUUCCUAAUAUUUGGGAACUCUUUCAUAUUACCAAGAUUAUAUACUGUUAAUUACAAUUCCUGUUUUACACCAUUGGCCAAAUGACUAUCAGAUGCUUCUGAAGAGAGGAAUAUAAGGUCACAUAAAAUAAUCUGAAAUGAACAUAUAUUUGGUAUGAGAUACCAAACUUGAACCAAAACUACUUCCAGAUCAGUAUAUAUAUAUAUAUAUAUAUAUAUAUAUAUAUAUAUAUACACACACACACACACACUUAGGAAGCUUAUGUGAAUAGAGAUGCCUCCUUCAGUGUUUUAAGUGUUAAAAUGAUGUAACAGUUGCUAAGAUCAAACUUUGAACGUGCCAUAUACCUUGAUUUAGAGAAAUAGUUAAUUCAGUUUGGGCAAAUACUCAAGUUCUAUUUUUGUUACUGUGUUGUCAUUACUAUUUACCUAGUUCUCACUGUGCUUGUAUUUAAAACAAAUAAGUGAUACUAAAUUAUACUCUAUUUUAUACUUCAUCUAAAGAUCUCAGUGAUACAGGAAUUUAAGGUAUAAAAUUAAAUCUAAAAAACUUUAAUUACAGCUUGAUUUCAUGCUUUGGUUUGAUAUGAGGGGUAUAUGUAUGAGCCAGUAUUUCUAUAAGGUAAUUUUAACCCUGUAGAAAAAAAUCUCUAAAAAGCUUUCUAAAAUUCUGUAACAGCUGACCCUUGUUUCUUUGAAAGAUCAGGACAGUGGGACCAGAGGGGUUUCUGAGUGCCAGGUAGGGGAAAUGGAGCGCUUUAAGGGCCCCUCUUAAGAACAUGAAUUAGAAAACCCGUGUUGAGUAACUUUGGUCUAAAGAGUAAAACAAGAGUACCCUUGAGAGCAACUGUAGCUAAUUAUAAUUGUUUGGCACAGUACUUUAACUUUAUAUCUUCCUGAUUUCAGGCAGGUUUAACAUUUUCUUUAUACCAAAUUUAAUCAUUUUUAUAUUUCCUUGUAGACUCGUCUUUAAUAAGUAAUCUUUAUUUUGAAGUGAAAUUUUAUACAUGAACUUUUUAAAUGUGAUUAAGCUAAACUUGCCUUGGUCCAAGUGAAUUUUAAGUCCAUUUAUUACUUGAAAUAUACUGAAAUGGAAUAUAUUGUCUUUUUUUCUGAAUAGUAAAACUUCAAUCAGGAAAAACUGUUUUCAUCUCUUUUUCAUUCUGGGAUUUCUAAUCAUGAUGUCCAAUAUGAAGAAUACUUCCCACUGUGGUACUUCCACACCGGUCUUUUGCUGGUGACAUGUAGCAGAACUCAGAUCUCCUUGAGCUGAAGUUUUUCAGGCUGAUUUUGUGAUACUGCAGUCAUUGGAAAUACCUCAGGGUGCAGAGUUUGUUGGUUUAGAACCUUGUGCCUUAAAGGUACUGGCAGAGGAUCAUCAAAGAGAUCAUCUUCCUCCUCCUCUGCGGGACAAGUAAAACAGGUAUAUAAGAAACACAAAAUGCCGAGAGCCAAUUUUUGCUUUAAAAAGUAAAAAUUCAACUGGUAGCAUUUUAGCUAUUUUAAUACAUGGAACUGUAAAUAGAGAGAUCACUCUCUUAGGCUAUAUGGAAUAAUUUAACUACCAUCUUCAACUUAUAAUACCAGACUGUAAGUUGGGAGUAUAGAUUUGUAUUCCCCAAAUAAGACAAGGAUGACUAUAUCAGUGAUUUUUGUUAGACCUAGCUAAACAUUAGAAUCAUCUAGAGAACUUUUUAAAAACUACAGCUUUCUACAUCCCAUUUCAGGUCCACUGAAUACCUAAAAGUGAGACCUAGUAAUUUUUUUCAUCAGCUAGGUUUGUGAGUCAUCUAGACUAGAAGGUUUGCAAAUUAUGUGCUCUGCAAAUAGCUCAAUGAUUUGGGUCAUGUAAUAUUUAAUUUCUAUACAUAUUUUGAUUCCUACUUUGUGCAUGUUAGGGGUUGAAUGUUUGUAUCCUAUCAAAAUCAUAAUUUGAAGCCCUGAUCCCAGUGUAAUGAUUUUGGGAUUAUAUGGGAUCUGUGGGAAAGUAUUGGGUUCGGAUGAGAUCAUGAAGGUCGGAAUCUCAUUAUGGGAUUGCUGUCCUUGUAAGAAAAGGAAGACAUUUCUCCAUCAAGUGCACAAAGGACAUACAUAGCACAUACAUACCUUCUUACUAAAACCAGGAAACAAAAUCUGCUGGCACCUUGCUCUUGGAAAUCCCAGCCUCCAAAACUGAGAUGUAGGUGUUAGUAAGUCAUCUGGUCUCUGUGAUUUGUUAGAGCAGCCAGAGCUAAGUACUCAACACUAUGAUAAAUACUGAGUAGAUAUAUGGAGUAGAAUAUCUUUAACCAAAAUACUGAAUAGCCACUUUGUGUUCAAGAAAAAUAGAUAUUAGUUAGCCCAGUCCACUUAAAUUCUUCCAAUAAGGAUCCUUACUCUGAGUAUGAAAUUACCAUAAUGAAAAGGCACAUAAUUGAGGAAGGAACAUAUUUUCCUAUCCUUUUAUAGCACCUAAGCUAAGGAUGAAAGUAAAUGCUCAUGAAGUUACUAUAUAUGUGGCAGCUUUCUUUUUUAAAGCUGAUAACUUUUUUAAAAAACUAGAUAGAUGUGGUUCCUGGCUUUUUAGAGUAUAGUAUAAUUGUUUAAAUAAGCAACUAUUCAUCCCAUUCUAAAGCACUUAAGGAGACUAAGAUGUCUGGCUACAAUAUUUGGGAUCAUCCUAAUCCCCAGCAUAUGCCUUGAACUCAUGAAUUACUAGUUUUACAAGAUUAACUUGUUAUUUUUUGUAUCAUUUCUAAGUUGAAUAGUUCCAUGUUCUUCUGGAUUCAUGACCAUCAAUAUCAUGGUAUGUUUUAACCUGUCAACAUUUUCACAUUACUUCACCUAUAUGUAUCUGAAAAACAAGUUUCUGUACUAUUAGUUUAUUGACAUUCUGACAUGUAUUCUAUUAUAACCAUAUAAACAUUUAAUACCUCUCAUAACAAUGAGAAAAUAAUGUAAUAAAUAUGAAGGCACUGAAAUUUUUAAUAACAUUUACACAAUCUGAUAAGUAUACUUCCAAUCCAAAAUGUAUUCAAAUUUGGAAGUUUGUCUAUUUCCUAAAUGUUAAGACAGACUUAUCAUGUUAUAUACUAAAUAUGUUCUACCCUUCCCACCAAAAUCCUCUGUUGAAACUCUAACCUCCAGUAUAGCCAUAUCUAGAGAUGUACCUCUAGGAACAUAAGGUCGUAAGGGCACGACCUUGAUCUGAUAGGAUUAGUGUCCUCUUGAGAAUAGACAUCAGCAAGCACUCUACAACCACCCCCAGGCACAUGCACCCAAGAAAGGUACUGUGAGCACAUAGCAAUAUGGCAGCUAGCCAAAAGAAUUCUCAAAAUAAAACUGUGUUAUAAGAACACUGAUCUUGGAAUUUCCAGCAUUCAGAAAUGUGGGGAGUAAAUUUCUAUUGUUUAAGCCAUUACCCUGGAUAUUUUGUUAUAGCAAGCCAAAUAAAAUAAGACACUACAGGACCCAGAAAUUCUGCUCCUUUGUUUUCACCCCAAAAGAAAGAAAAUGUGUCCACACACAGAUUUAUAUGCAGAUAUUCGUAACAUCAUCAUUUACAACUAAAAAGUAGAAACCACCCAAAAGUUCAACCAUUAAAUAGGUAAAUGUGGUGUACUCAUACAAUGGAAUAUUAUUUGAUAAUAAAAAGGAAUGAAGUACUGAUAUAUACUACAAGGAUGAACUAUUAAAAUACAAUGCAAAGUGAAAACCAGGCACGAAAGAUCCAUGUUGAAUGAGCCCAGUUACAUAAAUGUUCAGAAGAGGCAAUUCUUAUACAGAUAGAUCAUAAUCAGUGGUUGCCAAAGGCUGGAGGUAGUAAUGGCAGAGUUUCUUCAUGGAGUAAUAAAAAUGUUCUGAGAUUAGUGGUGAUAGUUGUGGAAAUCUGCUAUUGUAAAAAUCAGGGACAUGUUCACCUAAAGGUAUAUAUGGUAUAUAAAUUAUAUUUCAAUAAAGCUUUAAAAAACUGAGUUCAAUGUAAAAUUUUGUAAGAUAGAAGUAAAAUGUACAAUAGCACAAAAACUGGGAGAGGGUGAAAUGAAAGUACACUAUUACAGACUUCUUAUAGCAUACCUAUAGUAGGUAUGCCCUGAGGUGUUAAAUUUAUGUCUACUACAAACCACUAAAAUGUUACAACCAAUAAGCUGAGAUUAAAUGAGAUCAAACAACUUUAUCAAGAGGAAGCAUAAGAGGGAAGAAAUGAACAGAUGAAAAAAGAGCAAUAUAAUUAAUGAAAACUAUACAUAUCAAUAACAUUAAACCUAAAUGAUCUACGCACUACAAUUAAAAGGCAUAAAUUAUCAGAUUGGCUAUAAAAAACAAAGCCCAACAAUAUGUUGCUUAUAAGAAGCCUACUUUAGGGGCCGCCCUGGUGGCCUAAGUGUUAAGUCUCAGCACUAUCACACUAUGGCCUGCGUUCAAUCCCCAGCCAGGGAGCUAACCCAUAUAUGGUGCAGCAGAUCUCUCCUGUCUCACCUGCUGCUCCCCUUAGCAGUGUGUUUCAGUAAACCUGCCUGUUCUGCUCCCCACUGUCUUGGUGAAUUCUAUCACCCCCUGCACCUCUGACCUACACUCCAGUUCUUCUACACACACACACAAAAAUAAGAAACCUACUUUAAAUGUAAGACAAAAAAUUAAAAAUAGCAAAAAGAAAUAUUCUUAACACUAAACUGAAGAAACUGUAGUACCUCUAUUAGUAUUUGAUCUAGUAGAUUUCAGAGCUAAAAAUACUACCAGGGAUAAUAAAGAGUUAUUUUUUAGAAAUGAAGUCAAAAGACUGUAACCCAAAACCCGUUAGUAAUAGUGCUUCAAAGAUGAAGCAGAGAAUUCCAAGGGGAAAUAGGCAAAUCUACAAUUUUAACUGGGGAUUUCAACAACCGUCAAUAAGUAAUAGAGGGUAAGUAAAUCAAGGAUAUCAAAAGCCAGAACAUUAUCAAUGAAAUUGAUCUAAUUGUUAUUUAAAGGCCAUUUCAUUCAACAGCAGUAUGCUAACCAUAUCAAUAAAACAUCUUUCAAGUAUACAUGAAACAGUAAACAAGAUGGACAAUUAUUCUGGACCAUAGAUCUCAGUGAAAAUACAUAGUAUUCUGGCAGCUCUUGUCCCAAGAUUCUCCACCUGUAUCAAUGCAGGUGUCUCUUUUUUUUUUCUUUUUCUAAUAAACCUAUCCUUUUAAAAUGUAAAAAAAAUACAAAGUAUUUUGACCAUGAAUUUUUUUUUUUAAUACACAAUAAAAUUUAGGUAACAGUGAUCUCAGGAAAAUCUUCCAGAAUUCAGAAACACUUCUAAAUAACCCAUGCAUAUCAAAAAAGAAAUUAAAAGAAAAAUCAGAAAAUAUUUUGAACUGAAUGCAAGUGGAAACAAGUCAAAUUUGGGGAAUGUAAGGAGGGAAACUCAGCACCAAAUGCCUGAAUUAGGGGGAAAAGGUCUCAAAUUUAUGAGCUCAACUCCCACGUUAAGAAAUUUUAAAAUGAAUAGCAAAUUAAACCCAGAAUAAGCAGUGAAAGUUCAGAGUGACAGACAAUGAGGUAGAAAACAAAACCAAAACAACAACAAAAAGUUGGUUCUUUGAGAUCAAUAUAAUUGGCAAGCCUCUAAUCAUAGGACUGAUCAAGAAAAAAAAUAGUAAAGACUUGUAUCAGGAGUGAAAGUUUAUCACUAGAUUCUGCAGAUGUUAAAAGGAUCAAGGAAACAUAACGAGCAAGUUUAUUCCAAAAUAAUGCUUUUGUAAUUUUAAACCUUUCCACAGAAAACUGACCCAGGUGGCUUCCCUGGCAAUUCUACCAAUCAUUUGAGAUAGAUAUAAUGCAGAACCAAAAAAGAUAAUGCAAGAGAUAAAAAAGAAUUCAGAACACUAUCCCUCCUGAAAAUAGAUAAAUUCUUAACACAAUUUUAGCAAAUCAAAUUGAAUAACAUCUGAAAAGGAAUAUGUCACAACCACAUGGGAUUUGCUCCAGAAAUACAAGAUUGACUUAAUACUUAGGCAAUCAGU